ACUCCUACGGGAGGCAGCAGUGGGGAAUAUUGGACAAUGGGCGCAAGCCUGAUCCAGCCAUGCCGCGUGUGUGAAGAGGGCCUUAGGGUUGUAAAGCACUUUCAGUGGGGAGAAAGGUCAUUCACCUAAUACGUGAGUGAAUUGAUGUUACCCACAGAAGAAGCACCGGCUAACUCCGUGCCAGCAGCCGCGGUAAU
Molecule: ribosomal RNA, 197 nt
Filed under: uncultured bacterium
Lineage: Bacteria
Description: partial 16S ribosomal RNA
Rfam family: Bacterial small subunit ribosomal RNA
Source: RNAcentral